GUCCACGCCGUAAACGAUGUCAACUAGCCGUUGGGAGGAUUGCCUCUUGGUGGCGCAGCUAACGCGAUAAGUUGACCGCCUGGGGAGUACGGCCGCAAGGCUAAAACUCAAAUGAAUUGACGGGGGCCCGCACAAGCGGUGGAGCAUGUGGUUUAAUUCGAUGCAACGCGAAAAACCUUACCUACCCUUGACAUCCUCGGAACUUGUCAGAGAUGACUUGGUGCCUUCGGGAACCGAGUGACA
This 243-nucleotide ribosomal RNA is filed under the name uncultured bacterium. RNAcentral describes it as "partial 16S ribosomal RNA". It matches the Rfam family "Bacterial small subunit ribosomal RNA", at positions 793 to 1036 of the family's 1533-position model. The record is from RNAcentral.